Molecule: ribosomal RNA, 2607 nt
Filed under: Escherichia coli
Lineage: Bacteria; Pseudomonadati; Pseudomonadota; Gammaproteobacteria; Enterobacterales; Enterobacteriaceae
Description: 23S ribosomal RNA
Rfam family: Bacterial large subunit ribosomal RNA
Source: RNAcentral
GAAGCGUCUGGAAAGGCGCGCGAUACAGGGUGACAGCCCCGUACACAAAAAUGCACAUACUGUGAGCUCGAUGAGUAGGGCGGGACACGUGGUAUCCUGUCUGAAUAUGGGGGGACCAUCCUCCAAGGCUAAAUACUCCUGACUGACCGAUAGUGAACCAGUACCGUGAGGGAAAGGCGAAAAGAACCCCGGCGAGGGGAGUGAAAAAGAACCUGAAACCGUGUACGUACAAGCAGUGGGAGCCUCUUAAUGGGGUGACUGCGUACCUUUUGUAUAAUGGGUCAGCGACUUAUAUUCUGUAGCAAGGUUAACCGAAUAGGGGAGCCGAAGGGAAACCGAGUCUUAACUGGGCGUUAAGUUGCAGGGUAUAGACCCGAAACCCGGUGAUCUAGCCAUGGGCAGGUUGAAGGUUGGGUAACACUAACUGGAGGACCGAACCGACUAAUGUUGAAAAAUUAGCGGAUGACUUGUGGCUGGGGGUGAAAGGCCAAUCAAACCGGGAGAUAGCUGGUUCUCCCCGAAAGCUAUUUAGGUAGCGCCUCGUGAAUUCAUCUCCGGGGGUAGAGCACUGUUUCGGCAAGGGGGUCAUCCCGACUUACCAACCCGAUGCAAACUGCGAAUACCGGAGAAUGUUAUCACGGGAGACACACGGCGGGUGCUAACGUCCGUCGUGAAGAGGGAAACAACCCAGACCGCCAGCUAAGGUCCCAAAGUCAUGGUUAAGUGGGAAACGAUGUGGGAAGGCCCAGACAGCCAGGAUGUUGGCUUAGAAGCAGCCAUCAUUUAAAGAAAGCGUAAUAGCUCACUGGUCGAGUCGGCCUGCGCGGAAGAUGUAACGGGGCUAAACCAUGCACCGAAGCUGCGGCAGCGACGCUUAUGCGUUGUUGGGUAGGGGAGCGUUCUGUAAGCCUGUGAAGGUGGCCUGUGAGGGUUGCUGGAGGUAUCAGAAGUGCGAAUGCUGACAUAAGUAACGAUAAAGCGGGUGAAAAGCCCGCUCGCCGGAAGACCAAGGGUUCCUGUCCAACGUUAAUCGGGGCAGGGUGAGUCGACCCCUAAGGCGAGGCCGAAAGGCGUAGUCGAUGGGAAACAGGUUAAUAUUCCUGUACUUGGUGUUACUGCGAAGGGGGGACGGAGAAGGCUAUGUUGGCCGGGCGACGGUUGUCCCGGUUUAAGCGUGUAGGCUGGUUUUCCAGGCAAAUCCGGAAAAUCAAGGCUGAGGCGUGAUGACGAGGCACUACGGUGCUGAAGCGACAAAUGCCCUGCUUCCAGGAAAAGCCUCUAAGCAUCAGGUAACAUUAAAUCGUACCCCAAACCGACACAGGUGGUCAGGUAGAGAAUACCAAGGCGCUUGAGAGAACUCGGGUGAAGGAACUAGGCAAAAUGGUGCCGUAACUUCGGGAGAAGGCACGCUGAUAUGUAGGUGAAGCGACUUGCUCGUGGAGCUGAAAUCAGUCGAAGAUACCAGCUGGCUGCAACUGUUUAUUAAAAACACAGCACUGUGCAAACACGAAAGUGGACGUAUACGGUGUGACGCCUGCCCGGUGCCGGAAGGUUAAUUGAUGGGGUUAGCGGUAACGCGAAGCUCUUGAUCGAAGCCCCGGUAAACGGCGGCCGUAACUAUAACGGUCCUAAGGUAGCGAAAUUCCUUGUCGGGUAAGUUCCGACCUGCACGAAUGGCGUAAUGAUGGCCAGGCUGUCUCCACCCGAGACUCAGUGAAAUUGAACUCGCUGUGAAGAUGCAGUGUACCCGCGGCAAGACGGAAAGACCCCGUGAACCUUUACUAUAGCUUGACACUGAACAUUGAGCCUUGAUGUGUAGGAUAGGUGGGAGGCUUUGAAGUGUGGACGCCAGUCUGCAUGGAGCCGACCUUGAAAUACCACCCUUUAAUGUUUGAUGUUCUAACGUGGGCCCCUUACCGGGGUUGCGGACAGUGUCUGGUGGGUAGUUUGACUGGGGCGGUCUCCUCCUAAAGAGUAACGGAGGAGCACGAAGGUUGGCUAAUCCUGGUCGGACAUCAGGAGGUUAGUGCAAUGGCAUAAGCCAGCUUGACUGCGAGCGUGACGGCGCGAGCAGGUGCGAAAGCAGGUCAUAGUGAUCCGGUGGUUCUGAAUGGAAGGGCCAUCGCUCAACGGAUAAAAGGUACUCCGGGGAUAACAGGCUGAUACCGCCCAAGAGUUCAUAUCGACGGCGGUGUUUGGCACCUCGAUGUCGGCUCAUCACAUCCUGGGGCUGAAGUAGGUCCCAAGGGUAUGGCUGUUCGCCAUUUAAAGUGGUACGCGAGCUGGGUUUAGAACGUCGUGAGACAGUUCGGUCCCUAUCUGCCGUGGGCGCUGGAGAACUGAGGGGGGCUGCUCCUAGUACGAGAGGACCGGAGUGGACGCAUCACUGGUGUUCGGGUUGUCAUGCCAAUGGCACUGCCCGGUAGCUAAAUGCGGAAGAGAUAAGUGCUGAAAGCAUCUAAGCACGAAACUUGCCCCGAGAUGAGUUCUCCCUGACUCCUUGAGAGUCCUGAAGGAACGUUGAAGACGACGACGUUGAUAGGCCGGGUGUGUAAGCGCAGCGAUGCGUUGAGCUAACCGGUACUAAUGAACCGUGAGGCUUAACCU